RNA transcript from Arabidopsis lyrata subsp. lyrata, 4551 nucleotides. It is a transcript of the gene named probable serine/threonine protein kinase IREH1, with no coding region annotated. The record is from RefSeq and is a predicted model, not a curated record. Lineage: Eukaryota; Viridiplantae; Streptophyta; Magnoliopsida; Brassicales; Brassicaceae. The transcript is spliced from 18 exons.
CCAAGAAUUGACUGUUUUCCAUUUCAAGUAAUUAAAUUAGUAAGCACGGAAUCUAGCUAGGCUUCCCACAACAACAGUUACCUUCUUCAUCUUCUUCCUCUUCCUCGUCGCUUCCUCAAAAUCCUCGAAAACUCUGAAGAUCUUCCAGAGAGUCACAGCGAGUGAGAGAGAAAGCUAUUUGUUCUCGUGAAGUCCAAGUGUGGAAAUUGACAACUGGAUUUAUGGUUGGAUUUGGUGUGUAGUGUGUUGUAGCGAUUAGGUUUUGAAUCAGCGAAAAUUGAAAAAUGGUAUUCAAGAACAAGCUCUUCUUCUCUUCGAAGAAAUCUGGAUCUUCUAGUCCCGAUAGCUCUAAUAGUCCCAGAUCUGUUGGCUCCAACUCUCCCAUACGAUCAGAUAAGAAGAAGUCUAAAUCCGCUUCCAAGGAUGAACCUCAGAUCCCUAAUCCUGGGGUUGGUUGCAAGCAGACGCAGAUUAAAGAUGGUUUGAAGAAGAAGGAUGGUUCAUCUAAGGGUAAACAACUUUCAUCUGAAGUUCAAGCUCACUCUAUCGGAAAAUCGAACUUGUCUCCUAGUUCUGAGGCGAAGAAACCACCGCCGCCGGAGGUGAAGGAAGGACCUGCGUUUGUGUCUCCAAUCAUGGCUUCGUCUCUGGGUUUGAACCGGAUUAAGACGAGAUCCGGACCGUUGCCACAGGAAAGGGUUUUCAAUUAUAGGAAUGAUCCGGCUACGAGCAAUUUGUCGAAGAUGGGUGCUGAUGGUGGUGACUUGGGCUCGGAUUCAGCCACUACUGGCUCUGGUAGUGGCAAUAGAAAGAAAGAAGCUGGGAGUAGCAAGCUAGGGUUAGAAGAGAACAUGGGUCGCACUCGACCAAGUGACAAUAAGAGUGAUCGUGAUAGUUUGUCUCCUGAUGCUGGACCACCGCGGAGCCUCAGCCCUACUUUGCCGGCAUCAGGAUCUCGAUUGCAGAAUGUAGCAUCCUCAUCGGGAACUGGUCGCUCUGAGAUGUCAUCUGGUCGCUCUGGCCCUCUAAGAAAUUCAGACUUUUGCACCCCAGAGAAUUCAUAUGAAUGGGAAAAUCCCAAAGAGUCAGAAUCACCACGUUAUCAAGCCUUACUUCGUAUGACCAGUGCUCCACGAAAGAGGUUUCCUGGUGACAUCAAAAGUUUUUCUCAUGAGUUGAACUCAAAAGGGGUACGACCCUUUCCAUUAUGGAAGCCUCGUAGGUCGAACAAUGUGGAGGAAAUAUUGGUUCUGAUUCGAGCAAAAUUUGAUAAAGCAAAGGAAGAAGUAAACUCUGACCUUGCAGUAUUUGCAGCGGACCUGGUGGGAGUUCUUGAGAAAAAUGCAGAAAGCCAUCCUGAGUGGGAGGAAACAUUUGAAGACUUACUAAUUUUGGCUCGAAGUUGUGCUAUGACUACUCCUGGAGAUUUCUGGCUUCAGUGUGAAGGCAUUGUUCAGGACUUAGAUGAUAGACGUCAAGAGCUUCCUCCGGGCGUCCUCAAGCAGCUUCAUACUCGGAUGCUUUUUAUCCUUACCAGAUGUACUAGAUUACUUCAGUUUCAUAAGGAAAGCUGGGGGGAGGAGGAACAAGUUGUACAACUACGGCAGUCAAGAGUCUUGCAUUCUAUAGAGAAAAUACCUCCUACUGGAGCGGGAAGGAGUUCCAGUGCUGCAAAGGUCUUAAAGGUACCAUCUACCAAGAAAGCUUAUAGUCAGGAGCAGAGUGGUUUGGACUGGAAGGAAGACGCGGUUUUACGCUCAGUUCCCCCUCUCUCUCCAACUGAAAAUUAUGCUCUUAAGGAAUCUGAAUCUCCUGCAAACAUUGAUAGAAUGUCUUCCUGGAAAAAACUUCCAUCUCCAGCACUGAAAACUGUGAAAGAAGCGCCAGCGUCAGAUGAGCAGAAUGAUAUCAAAGUUGAACCUCCAAAUAUGGUUGGGAAUCGACAAGCUAGCGAUGAUGCGGCUGUUGCUAUUCUCAACUAUCCUCCAGCAAAAGAUUCUCAUGAACACUCCAAGCAUCGGCACAAUAUUUCUUGGGGUUACUGGGGAGAACAACCCCUUAUUUCAGAGGAAAGUUCAAUAAUGUGCCGUAUCUGUGAGGAGGAAGUUCCCACAACACAUGUGGAAGAUCACUCUAGGGUUUGUACAUUGGCUGAUAAAUAUGACCAGAAAGGACUGAGUGUUGAUGAGCGGUUGAUGGCAGUUGCUGGAACACUUGACAAGAUAGCAGAGACCUUCAGACAUAAGGAUAGCCUAGCAGCCGCAGAAAGCCCAGAUGGUAUGAAAGUAUCCAAUUCACAUUUGACUGAAGAAUCUGAUGUUCUCUCUCCAAGGUUGAGUGAUUGGUCGCGAAGAGGGUCAGAAGACAUGCUUGACUGUUUCACGGAGGCUGAUAAUUCAAUUUUUAUGGAUGAUCUGAGAGGUUUACCGUUAAUGUCAUGUAGAACCCGUUUUGGUCCCAAGUCUGAUCAAGGUAUGACAACUUCAUCUGCCAGUAGCAUGACUCCUAGAUCCCCGAUUCCGACCCCUAGGCCUGAUCCAAUUGAACAUAUAUUAGGAGGCAAAGGUACAUUCCACGAUCAAGAUGAUAUUCCACAGAUGAGUGAACUUGCUGACAUUGCAAAAUGUGCAGCAGAUGCCAUUCCGGGUGAUGAUCAGUCCAUUCCAUUCUUACUUUCUUGUCUUGAAGAUCUGAGGGUAGUUAUAGACCGCAGAAAGUUUGAUGCACUUACAGUAGAAACUUUUGGGACUCGCAUAGAAAAAUUGAUCCGGGAGAAAUAUUUGCAUAUGUGUGAGCUUAUGGAUGAUGAAAAAGUUGAUCUACUAAGCACUGUAAUUGAGGAAGAUGCUCCCCUAGAAGAUGAUGUUGUUCGGAGCUUGAGGACCAGCCCGGUACAUCCGCGAGACCGCACAUCCAUUGAUGAUUUUGAGAUCAUAAAACCAAUUAGCCGGGGAGCUUUUGGGCGAGUUUUUCUAGCGAAGAAGAGGACAACAGGAGAUCUAUUUGCAAUCAAGGUUCUGAAAAAGGCAGAUAUGAUUCGUAAGAAUGCUGUUGAAAGUAUACUUGCUGAACGUGAUAUAUUGAUCAACGUUCGCAAUCCCUUUGUGGUUCGUUUCUUCUAUUCUUUCACGUGUCGUGACAACCUGUAUCUGGUGAUGGAGUAUCUGAAUGGAGGGGACCUGUAUUCGUUGUUGAGAAAUUUAGGUUGCUUAGAGGAAGAUAUUGUCCGUAUAUAUAUUGCUGAAGUUGUCCUUGCUUUGGAAUAUUUGCAUUCUGAGGGUGUUGUUCACCGUGAUUUGAAGCCGGAUAAUUUGUUGAUUGCGCAUGAUGGUCAUAUAAAGUUAACAGAUUUCGGGCUCUCUAAAGUUGGUCUCAUCAACAGCACGGAUGAUCUGGCUGGUCCUGCUGUAAGUGGGACGUCUCUGCUUGAUGAGGAGGAUUCACGAUUAGCGGCAUCUGAGGAACAACUUGAAAGGCGCAAGAAACGGUCUGCUGUGGGUACUCCUGAUUACUUAGCGCCAGAAAUUCUUUUAGGGACAGGACAUGGUGCAACUGCGGAUUGGUGGUCUGUUGGCAUCAUUCUGUUUGAACUCAUUGUGGGAAUUCCACCCUUCAAUGCGGAACAUCCUCAGCAAAUAUUUGACAAUAUUCUCAACCGUAAGAUACCAUGGCCUCAUGUUCCAGAAGAAAUGAGUGCUGAAGCUCAUGAUAUUAUAGACCGAUUUUUAACAGAAGAUCCACAUCAGAGACUUGGAGCUAGAGGGGCAGCUGAGGUCAAGCAGCACAUCUUCUUUAAAGACAUCAACUGGGACACACUAGCAAGGCAAAAGGCUGCAUUUGUUCCGGCUUCAGAGAGUGCAAUUGACACAAGUUACUUCAGAAGUCGCUACUCGUGGAACACAUCAGAUGAGCAAUUUUUCCCGAGCGGUGAGGUUCAAGAUUAUAUUGAUGCUGGUAGCUCGACUGGCAGCAGUGGUUGCUCGAGCAAUCAUCAUGAAGAAGGGGAGGCUGAAGAAUGUGAAGGACAUGCAGAGUUUGAGUCUGGCGUACCUGUAGAUUACUCUUUCAGUAAUUUCUCGUUCAAGAACCUCUCUCAGUUGGCGUCUAUCAACUACGAUCUUCUAUCCAAAGGCUGGAAAGAUGAGCCACAACAAAUUCCGCAUCACAAGUAACAUCCAUUUCGUGGAUGUUUUUCUCGAUUCCUUUGGUGCUCUGUGAGUCAGUGUAAUGAGUACUCUGCCAUUACCGGCGUUGUUUGUAUACUCUGUAAAUAGACAGGAAGAGGAAAAAAAAAAAAAAGAGGAGAUAGCGGACAUUGAAACACUAUGGAGACGCAGCCACAAAUGUGGUAUCGUUACUUUUCUCAUAUUUCUAUAAUCACUAGGACAUGAGAGUGGUGAGGUAGCGUUUGCGUUUCGAGUAAGCAGCGGCAGCAAUCGGUCUAUGUAAAGUUAAGAGAGCUCACAACCUACUUAACCUUUAAUGAGUUCAAAUACCAUUUAAACCUCUCAAGAAUUUUAGAUUGAUUUAAUUCUUCAACUAAUUUAGUUA